This 255-nucleotide ribosomal RNA is filed under the name uncultured bacterium. RNAcentral's name for it is "partial 16S ribosomal RNA". It matches the Rfam family "Bacterial small subunit ribosomal RNA", at positions 524 to 777 of the family's 1533-position model. The record is from RNAcentral.
UACGUAGGGUGCAAGCGUUAAUCGGAAUUACUGGGCGUAAAGCGUGCGCAGGCGGCUUUGCAAGACAGAUGUGAAAUCCCCGGGCUCAACCCUGGGAACUGCAUUUGUGACUGCAAGGCUAGAGUACGGUAGAGGGGGAUGGAAUUCCGCGUGUAGCAGUGAAAUGCGUAGAUAUGCGGAGGAACACCGAUGGCGAAGGCAAUCCCCUGGACCUGUACUGACGCUCAUGCACGAAAGCGUGGGGAGCAAACGAGG